RNAcentral lists this ribosomal RNA (365 nucleotides) under Haemaphysalis intermedia. RNAcentral describes it as "partial 16S ribosomal RNA". Lineage: Eukaryota; Metazoa; Arthropoda; Arachnida; Ixodida; Ixodidae. The record is from RNAcentral.
AAGGUAUUGUAAUAAGGCUUUAAUUGAGCGCUAAGAGAAUGGAUUUUCAAGAAAAUUCUUUUUUAAAUUUAAAAAUUGAAGUUAUUUUUAUUUGUGAAGAAACAACAAUAAAAAUUAAAGACAAGAAGACCCUAUGAAUUUUUUUAAAACACAAUUAAUAUUAUAAUUGUAUUUUAAUUAAUUGGGGCGAUUAAAAAAAAUUAUAAACUUUUUAUAAAAAUAAAAUGAUCCACAAAUUGUGAUUUUAUGAAAUAAAUACUCUAGGGAUAACAGCGUAAUAAUUUUAGAUAGAUCAUAUAGAAAAAAUAGUUUGCGACCUCGAUGUUGGAUUAGGAUACUUUUUUAAUGAAGAAGUAAAAAAAGAA